AGUGAGAAGUGAGAGACGGGAGAGAAUUAAAGAAAACGUAUAAAUAUAUAUAUACUGAAAUAUAGUGAAACAUAUACACACAAAAACAUACACAUAUUACAUACAUACAAGUAUACAUACAUACUUACGUACAAACAGACGUACACAAACACAUACAGGCACACAAACGCAUACAAGCAUACACACAUACAUGCAUACAUUCAUGCAUACAUACAUGCAUGCAUGCAUGCAUACAAGCAUACAUUUACAUACAUAAACCAAUAGAAAAAAAAACCCAGCCUUCUUCACACUUUUCGUUUAUUCUGGCGACAAACUGGAGACGGUGUACACCGAAGUCGUGUAUACAGAGCAGGAACACCAGAGUAUUGGAAUAAACAAAGAACAAACGAGCAAAAAAGGCAUAACUCGGUGAGAACAACAACAACAACAACGAUUAAAAAAAAAACGAGGAAAGAAGAAAAAAGGAGAAAAAAGAAUCGGAAAAGAAGCAACUUGUUGAAUUGGAAAAAAUGUUGCUACCAUUACUUCAUGUUGGACUAAUAGGUGCAAGUGGCGGUGGGUUUUUUAACUCUGACCAGUGGAAAUACUUCGAAUUUACUUUUAUGAUGAUAUUGCUGAUUCUGCAUACGUGUUUUAUCACUAUCGUUGUAAUCCGAAAGAUUAAGAAAUAUCAGGCCUCUAAAGAGAAACAAAGUCAAGCACAGACCGCGAAUGCCAAUCCGCCUGCGAGUGCAAUGGGGCAGACAGCUCAAUAACUUUAUUCCAAAGGUUCUCAAACUUUUCGGGCCACCGCCCCGCUCAUGGUCACAUAGUACCCUCAGCGCCCCACCCCUAUUUUUAUGUAUCAAUAAAAAUUUUAUAUUUUACUAAUUUA
Molecule: long non-coding RNA, 874 nt
Organism: Octopus bimaculoides (California two-spot octopus)
Lineage: Eukaryota; Metazoa; Mollusca; Cephalopoda; Octopoda; Octopodidae
Source: RefSeq, a predicted model, not a curated record